RNAcentral lists this ribosomal RNA (461 nucleotides) under uncultured bacterium. RNAcentral's name for it is "bacterial SSU rRNA". It matches the Rfam family "Bacterial small subunit ribosomal RNA", at positions 330 to 793 of the family's 1533-position model. The record is from RNAcentral.
CCCAGACUCCUACGGGAGGCAGCAGUGGGGAAUAUUGCACAAUGGGGGGAACCCUGAUGCAGCGACGCCGCGUGGGUGAAGGAGCACCUCGGUGCGUAAAGCCCUAUCGGCAGGGAAGAAAAGCGAACAGGUUCGCCUGGACGGUACCUGGCUAAGAAGCCCCGGCUAACUACGUGCCAGCAGCCGCGGUAAUACGUAGGGGGCAAGCGUUAUCCGGAUUUAUUGGGUUUAAAGGGUGCGUAGGCGGACAGUCAAGUCAGCGGUAAAAAUGCGGUGCUCAACGCCGUACAGCCGUUGAAACUGGCAGUCUUGAGUGGGCGAGAAGUAUGCGGAAUGCGUAGUGUAGCGGUGAAAUGCAUAGAUAUCACGCAGAACUCCGAUUGCGAAGGCAGCAUACCGGCGCCCGACUGACGCUGAGGCACGAAAGCGUGGGUAUCGAACAGGAUUAGAUACCCGCGUAU